UACGUAGGUGGCAAGCGUUAUCCGGAAUUAUUGGGCGUAAAGCGCGCGUAGGCGGUUUUUAAGUCUGAUGUGAAAGCCCACGGCUCAACCGUGGAGGGUCAUUGGAAACUGGAAAACUUGAGUGCAGAAGAGGAAAGUGGAAUUCCAUGUGUAGCGGUGAAAUGCGCAGAGAUAUGGAGGAACACCAGUGGCGAAGGCGACUUUCUGGUCAUGUAACUGACGCUGAUGUGCGAAAGCGUGGGGAUCAAACAGGAUUAGAUACC
Molecule: ribosomal RNA, 263 nt
Filed under: uncultured Staphylococcus sp.
Lineage: Bacteria; Bacillati; Bacillota; Bacilli; Caryophanales; Staphylococcaceae
Description: partial 16S ribosomal RNA
Rfam family: Bacterial small subunit ribosomal RNA
Source: RNAcentral